Molecule: ribosomal RNA, 518 nt
Filed under: Salmonella enterica subsp. enterica serovar Agona
Lineage: Bacteria; Pseudomonadati; Pseudomonadota; Gammaproteobacteria; Enterobacterales; Enterobacteriaceae
Also listed under: 1 other name
Description: bacterial SSU rRNA
Rfam family: Bacterial small subunit ribosomal RNA
Source: RNAcentral
UUUCCAGAGAUGGACUGGUGCCUUCGGGAACUGUGAGACAGGUGCUGCAUGGCUGUCGUCAGCUCGUGUUGUGAAAUGUUGGGUUAAGUCCCGCAACGAGCGCAACCCUUAUCCUUUGUUGCCAGCGGUCCGGCCGGGAACUCAAAGGAGACUGCCAGUGAUAAACUGGAGGAAGGUGGGGAUGACGUCAAGUCAUCAUGGCCCUUACGACCAGGGCUACACACGUGCUACAAUGGCGCAUACAAAGAGAAGCGACCUCGCGAGAGCAAGCGGACCUCAUAAAGUGCGUCGUAGUCCGGAUUGGAGUCUGCAACUCGACUCCAUGAAGUCGGAAUCGCUAGUAAUCGUGGAUCAGAAUGCCACGGUGAAUACGUUCCCGGGCCUUGUACACACCGCCCGUCACACCAUGGGAGUGGGUUGCAAAAGAAGUAGGUAGCUUAACCUUCGGGAGGGCGCUUACCACUUUGUGAUUCAUGACUGGGGUGAAGUCGUAACAAGGUAACCGUAGGGGAACCUGC